GAAUAUUGUUAGAGAUAAAUUAGAGAUAACGUUUAUACGGCGGCCGGUGUUUUACAAUGAGCAAAUCGGAGCCGACGAGGAUCAGGCGAGAAGAUGAUGGUGUUGCUUCCGAGUGAAGAUGGUUAGGAGUUCCAUAUUUCCAUCUCUACUGAUCUAUCAAGUCGCCAAAACAUCAUCACAUUCAAGAUAUGGUUACCGGAAAUGACAAACCAAGACUAUAUCAUCAAAAACUCACACGAGUCACAAGGAUAAAGGUGAUGUGGCUAAUACUUUUCUAUGUAAAAUCCUUGAACAGAUUGAAAAUUUCGCAUCCACCAAUUUCCAAAAAACUCGAUAUGAUAGUCACUUGCUACAACACUAAUUACAUUCUAAUCAAAAUUUCGAGGAUGAGGGAAUAUCUGAAGGUGAACAAAAGACGCGGCCGAGGUAAUGACCUGGUAUUCUUGAGAGUAUCUCGAUGAUGACAUCGGUGGGAAGCGUCUCUAUUACAUAAGUUGAGUUCGAUGAUUUUGUGUAGAGUCGGAUGCGUUUUUGGCGUUUUUACUCGACAAAUUUUGUGGUACUCGAUGAAUACAAAUUAGCUUGGGGAUCGCGUGAUACGACUUUAUGGGAGGAAACUAG
Non-coding RNA from Camelina sativa (false flax), 621 nucleotides. NCBI's taxonomy places the organism in Eukaryota, Viridiplantae, Streptophyta, Magnoliopsida, Brassicales, Brassicaceae. The record is from RefSeq and is a predicted model, not a curated record.